UACAGAGGUCCCAAGCGUUGUUCGGAUUCACUGGGUGUAAAGGGUGCGCAGGCGGACUGGCAAGUCAGGGGUGAAAUCUUACGGCUUAACCGUGAAACUGCCUUUGAUACUGCUGGUCUUGAGUUAGGGAGAGGUUGAUGGAAUUCCAGGUGUAGCGGUGAAAUGCGUAGAUAUCUGGAAGAACACCAGUGGCGAAGGCGGUCAACUGGCCCUAUACUGACGCUCAGGCACGAAAGCGCGGGGAUCAAACAGG
This 253-nucleotide ribosomal RNA is filed under the name uncultured bacterium. RNAcentral describes it as "partial 16S ribosomal RNA". It matches the Rfam family "Bacterial small subunit ribosomal RNA", at positions 524 to 776 of the family's 1533-position model. The record is from RNAcentral.